RNAcentral lists this signal recognition particle RNA (98 nucleotides) under Planctomycetota bacterium. Its description in RNAcentral is "signal recognition particle sRNA small type". It matches the Rfam family "Bacterial small signal recognition particle RNA". Rfam says of the family: The signal recognition particle (SRP) is a universally conserved ribonucleoprotein involved in the co-translational targeting of proteins to membranes. Archaeal SRP consists of a 7S RNA and homologues of the eukaryotic SRP19 and SRP54 proteins. The record is from RNAcentral. Lineage: Bacteria; Pseudomonadati; Planctomycetota.
CGCCGGGUCCCGAGCAAGGGGGCGGCGUGAACCUGGUCAGGUCCGGAAGGAAGCAGCCAUAAGCGUGCGGCUUCUUGUGCCCGGGGUGCCUGGUGGGU